Liolophura sinensis is the source of this 627-nucleotide long non-coding RNA. RefSeq lists it as uncharacterized. The record is from RefSeq and is a predicted model, not a curated record. The transcript is spliced from 3 exons. NCBI's taxonomy places the organism in Eukaryota, Metazoa, Mollusca, Polyplacophora, Chitonida, Chitonidae.
AAGGGAUUCGCUCCAAACCAUACUACACCGGCCCCGAUGGCUCAGUUGGUAGAGCGUUCGCUUCGGGGGCGAUAGAUUCAAGAGUAUGUAGUUCUCAUCUUGCUGCCAGAUUUUUUGGUGAUUGUUCUUCCUGUGUGCUGAAUGAUUCGGUCCAACUUCAUCCUGUAUCAUGAAGUUAUUUGUCUGCUGUAAUCCAGAAAAAAGAAGAAAACAAAGCGGGUGACUGACUCCAUGGAAAUUCACACGAAUGCACUUCAUGGACCGACCAACAAGGCAUUAGCCUGCGAUGAAAGACUCUAUUGAGCCGACGUAUACCAUUCAUGCUUAUCAGGUGAAUGACGGUCGUGUUCCAGAACUCUAGGUUGGAUAUAGAUUUUCAUUCAACCCAUAAGGGGAUCGACAACUCCGAGUAUUACUUGAUGAUCAGGCAUUUUUCAUGUUUACAAAGGCUAUGGAAUCUCUGGCCAUGUCAAAGACAUAAUGGACAAGAAUCGUGCCUCAUGUUAAUGGAAUCGUGAUGGCAUUAUUUCGUUUCAACUGGUCCUGGUCACGCCGAAGACCACUGCGCGUGCGCGUGACGUCAUCGAUAUUACGCGAGGUCUUCUCGACAGGCAUGCAUUUUUUCAU